UACGGAGGGUGCAAGCGUUGUUCGGAAUUACUGGGCGUAAAGCGCGCGUAGGCGGUUUGCUCAGUCAGAUGUGAAAGCCCUCGGCUUAACCGGGGACGUGCAUUUGAAACUGGCAGACUUGAGUAUUGGAGGGGGUGGUGGAAUUCCCGGUGUAGAGGUGAAAUUCGUAGAUAUCGGGAGGAAUACCGGUGGCGAAGGCGACCACCUGGCCAAAUACUGACGCUGAGGUGCGAAAGCGUGGGGAGCAAACAGG
RNAcentral lists this ribosomal RNA (253 nucleotides) under uncultured Desulfocapsa sp. RNAcentral's name for it is "partial 16S ribosomal RNA". It matches the Rfam family "Bacterial small subunit ribosomal RNA", at positions 524 to 776 of the family's 1533-position model. Lineage: Bacteria; Pseudomonadati; Thermodesulfobacteriota; Desulfobulbia; Desulfobulbales; Desulfocapsaceae. RNAcentral also lists the same sequence under 1 other name. The record is from RNAcentral.